CAGGCCUGUUAAGUACUGAGCUGCAAACUUAGGAAAGAUUAGAAAUAUAGUCCAGGCUUAG
This 61-nucleotide transfer RNA is filed under the name Sphenodon punctatus (tuatara). RNAcentral describes it as "tRNA-Cys". The record is from RNAcentral. Lineage: Eukaryota; Metazoa; Chordata; Lepidosauria; Sphenodontia; Sphenodontidae.